This 68-nucleotide transfer RNA is filed under the name Marmota monax (woodchuck). RNAcentral describes it as "tRNA.Ile". Lineage: Eukaryota; Metazoa; Chordata; Mammalia; Rodentia; Sciuridae. The record is from RNAcentral.
GGAAUGUAGCUCAGUUGUAGAGUGCUUGCCUAAUAUGCAUGAGGCCCUGUGUUCAAUACCCAGUACCA